CAUGGCUCAGGAUGAACGCUAGCUACAGGCUUAACACAUGCAAGUCGAGGGGCAGCAUGGUCUUAGCUUGCUAAGGCCGAUGGCGACCGGCGCACGGGUGAGUAACACGUAUCCAACCUGCCGUCUACUCUUGGACAGCCUUCUGAAAGGAAGAUUAAUACAAGAUGGCAUCAUGAGUCCACAUGUUCACAUGAUUAAAGGUAUUCCGGUAGACGAUGGGGAUGCGUUCCAUUAGAUAGUAGGCGGGGUAACGGCCCACCUAGUCUUCGAUGGAUAGGGGUUCUGAGAGGAAGGUCCCCCACAUUGGAACUGAGACACGGUCCAAACUCCUACGGGAGGCAGCAGUGAGGAAUAUUGGUCAAUGGGCGAGAGCCUGAACCAGCCAAGUAGCGUGAAGGAUGACUGCCCUAUGGGUUGUAAACUUCUUUUAUAAAGGAAUAAAGUCGGGUAUGCAUACCCGUUUGCAUGUACUUUAUGAAUAAGGAUCGGCUAACUCCGUGCCAGCAGCCGCGGUAAUACGGAGGAUCCGAGCGUUAUCCGGAUUUAUUGGGUUUAAAGGGAGCGUAGAUGGAUGUUUAAGUCAGUUGUGAAAGUUUGCGGCUCAACCGUAAAAUUGCAGUUGAUACUGGAUAUCUUGAGUGCAGUUGAGGCAGGCGGAAUUCGUGGUGUAGCGGUGAAAUGCUUAGAUAUCACGAAGAACUCCGAUUGCGAAGGCAGCCUGCUAAGCUGCAACUGACAUUGAGGCUCGAAAGUGUGGGUAUCAAACAGGAUUAGAUACCCUGGUAGUCCACACGGUAAACGAUGAAUACUCGCUGUUUGCGAUAUACUGCAAGCGGCCAAGCGAAAGCGUUAAGUAUUCCACCUGGGGAGUACGCCGGCAACGGUGAAACUCAAAGGAAUUGACGGGGGCCCGCACAAGCGGAGGAACAUGUGGUUUAAUUCGAUGAUACGCGAGGAACCUUACCCGGGCUUAAAUUGCAGAUGAAUUACGGUGAAAGCCGUAAGCCGCAAGGCAUCUGUGAAGGUGCUGCAUGGUUGUCGUCAGCUCGUGCCGUGAGGUGUCGGCUUAAGUGCCAUAACGAGCGCAACCCUUGUUGUCAGUUACUAACAGGUUCUGCUGAGGACUCUGACAAGACUGCCAUCGUAAGAUGUGAGGAAGGUGGGGAUGACGUCAAAUCAGCACGGCCCUUACGUCCGGGGCUACACACGUGUUACAAUGGGGGGUACAGAGGGCCGCUACCACGCGAGUGGAUGCCAAUCCCAAAAACCUCUCUCAGUUCGGACUGGAGUCUGCAACCCGACUCCACGAAGCUGGAUUCGCUAGUAAUCGCGCAUCAGCCACGGCGCGGUGAAUACGUUCCCGGGCCUUGUACACACCGCCCGUCAAGCCAUGGGAGCCGGGGGUACCUGAAGUGCGUAACCGCGAGGAGCGCCCUAGGGUAAAACUGGUGA
This 1452-nucleotide ribosomal RNA is filed under the name uncultured organism. Its description in RNAcentral is "SSU rRNA". It matches the Rfam family "Bacterial small subunit ribosomal RNA". The record is from RNAcentral.